RNAcentral lists this ribosomal RNA (517 nucleotides) under Lactiplantibacillus plantarum. RNAcentral's name for it is "bacterial SSU rRNA". It matches the Rfam family "Bacterial small subunit ribosomal RNA", at positions 60 to 535 of the family's 1533-position model. The record is from RNAcentral. Lineage: Bacteria; Bacillati; Bacillota; Bacilli; Lactobacillales; Lactobacillaceae.
GRUCGAACGAACUCUGGUAUUGAUUGGUGCUUGCAUCAUGAUUUACAUUUGAGUGAGUGGCGAACUGGUGAGUAACACGUGGGAAACCUGCCCAGAAGMGGGGGAUAACACCUGGAAACAGAUGCUAAUACCGCAUAACAACUUGGACCGCAUGGUCCGAGUUUGAAAGAUGGCUUCGGCUAUCACUUYUGGAUGGUCCCGCGGCGUAUUAGCUAGAUGGUGAGGUAACGGCUCACCAUGGCAAUGAUACGUAGCCGACCUGAGAGGGUAAUCGGCCACAUUGGGACUGAGACACGGCCCAAACUCCUACGGGAGGCAGCAGUAGGGAAUCUUCCACAAUGGACGAAAGUCUGAUGGAGCAACGCCGCGUGAGUGAAGAAGGGUUUCGGCUCGUAAAACUCUGUUGUUAAAGAAGAACAUAUCUGAGAGUAACUGUUCAGGUAUUGACGGUAUUUAACCAGAAAGCCACGGCUAACUACGUGCCAGCMGCCGCGGUAAUWCGGUCAUAGCUGUUUCC